GCGACGUAGCUCAGUUGGUAGAGCUAGGGAUUCAUAAGCCCUCGGUCACUGGUUCGAGUCCAGUCGUCGCC
Molecule: transfer RNA, 71 nt
Filed under: marine eukaryotic metagenome
Rfam family: tRNA
About the family: Transfer RNA (tRNA) molecules are approximately 80 nucleotides in length. Their secondary structure includes four short double-helical elements and three loops (D, anti-codon, and T loops).
Source: RNAcentral